This 451-nucleotide ribosomal RNA is filed under the name uncultured bacterium. RNAcentral's name for it is "partial 16S ribosomal RNA". It matches the Rfam family "Bacterial small subunit ribosomal RNA", at positions 28 to 507 of the family's 1533-position model. The record is from RNAcentral.
GAUGAACGCUGGCGGCGUGCCUAACACAUGCAAGUCGAGCGGCAGCGAGGGGUGCUUGCACCAUGUCGGCGAGCGGCGGACGGCUGAGUAACGCGUGGGAACGUGCCCCAAAGUGAGGAAUAACUGCCCGAAAGGGUAGCUAAUACCGCAUAUUAUCUUCGGAUCAAAGGAUUUAUCCGCUUUGGGAGCGGCUCGCGUCGGAUUAGGUAGUUGGUGAGGUAAUGGCUCACCAAGCCGACGAUCCGUAGCUGGUCUGAGAGGAUGGCCAGCCAGACUGGAACUGAGACACGGUCCAGACUCCUACGGGAGGCAGCAGUGAGGAAUCUUCGACAAUGGGCGAAAGCCUGAUGGAGCAACGCCGCGUGCAGGACGAAGGCCUUCGGGUUGUAAACUGCUUUUAUAAGUGAGGAAUAUGACGGUAACUUAUGAAUAAGGAUCGGCUAACUACGUG